GCCGUCUUAGCUCAGUGGUAGAGCGCGUGACUUUUAAUCCCGUGGUCAAGGUUUCGAUCCCUUAAACGGCG
Molecule: transfer RNA, 71 nt
Organism: Arabis alpina (gray rockcress)
Lineage: Eukaryota; Viridiplantae; Streptophyta; Magnoliopsida; Brassicales; Brassicaceae
Rfam family: tRNA
About the family: Transfer RNA (tRNA) molecules are approximately 80 nucleotides in length. Their secondary structure includes four short double-helical elements and three loops (D, anti-codon, and T loops). Further hydrogen bonds mediate the characteristic L-shaped molecular structure. tRNAs have two regions of fundamental functional importance: the anti-codon, which is responsible for specific mRNA codon recognition, and the 3' end, to which the tRNAs corresponding amino acid is attached (by aminoacyl-tRNA synthetases). tRNAs cope with the degeneracy of the genetic code in two manners: having more than one tRNA (with a specific anti-codon) for a particular amino acid; and 'wobble' base-pairing, i.e. permitting non-standard base-pairing at the 3rd anti-codon position.
Source: Rfam